CUUUUUCCUCUUAUGUGAUUUGUCUUGUACAGAGAAGACAGAAAACCAGUCCAGACCACAUACCAGCUGAGGGGGCAGCAUACCUUACAAGCCAUCUUUAAAAAAUAACGUAAGUUUAUCCCAUGCCAUAUUUUUUUUUUGUUUUGAUCAAAAUUACUUCACUGUAAAUAUUAUUAUUUUAAGAUUGUCUUCACUUGUUAACUUUUUUGUCACCCACAUUAUUUGUCCUUUACAGAAAGGAAACAAGUCGAGACCAGACUGGAGGUGUAUAGAUAAUGUCUGAAAUCAGCGUGUUCGUUUUUGUGGUCAGUUGGAGUGGAACAUGAAGCUGUGGUGGCCUCACUGUGAAGCUCUCAUCGCCUACCUGAUGACCUACAGUCACACUAAGAGACCAGAGCUGCUGGAGAGAUUCUCUCAGGUGUAUGAGUACACCUUCAGUCACGUGAGUUAUUACUGAGGGAAACGUACCCAAGGAAAAAUCUCAUGCUACACCUCUGAAGUGUUUGUCAACAAAUGACCGUCACGAUGACUUGUAACUUUUGAAGCCUCACUUAAGAAGCACUGAAAUAUUCCUUUAAUGUUCAUAUUGUAGAAACAUUGGGUAGAAUAGAAAAGAAAAGAAGUUGUAGAGAAGAAAAAAGAUGUUAAAAUAGACGAAAAAGAGAUGCCAAAAAUAGAAUAGCAGAGACUAGUAAUAGGAGUGUGCUACAUAACCGUGCAAGAUUAACGAAGACAGGGCCCAUAUCUUCUUAACGGUAAGACAAUGUGUAAAUUAGUGACUAAUGUGAACGUCUAGCUCAAAAAGGAUAGUCGAAUUCGGGGCGUGGAAAGAAAAAGUGAGGAGUAAAACCCGGAGCCCAGGGUAAUUGGCAAAUAAAUGAUGAAAAGAGAUAAAGAGUAAAAGAGACAAAGUGAAAAAGAGAAAAAGGCUGAGAUGGCCCAGGAAUAGAGAAGAAAAAGGCUGAGAUGGCCGAAAAAGAGAAAAAGUUAACUUAAUGUUAGGGACGACGCGAUUGGGCAUACAAACCGGUGAGGACAGUUUAAAGAAGAAAAAAGGCCUAUAUACUAUAGUAAGGAAACACUGAGCUCAGUGAGAAGAGGUGUGCUGAAAUUUGAGUGUGUGAGAGAAGCUUCUGGUGUGUGUGUGUGUGUGUGUGUGCGUGCGUGCGUGCGCGCGCGCGUGUGUGUGUACACAAAGUUGGGGAAUGAUCUAGCAUAGGUUUAAGUGAUUAACUUAUGAUAAAGUGAUAAAUGAUGUCUUAUUAAAUAUAUAAUGAUAUGAUAUAAGAAAUUACCAUAUAAGGGAAGAGAUACUGAUGCCUUUGUAGUGCUAAAAAAAACAUAUGAGCCCUGGUUUCUUUGUACAGGGACGUUAAUAGAAUAGGUAACUGCUAUGAGCCUCUCAGGAUAAAGAGGACGUUUGUACACCUAAUAGUAAGAAAUGAGCCCCUUAUUAGAUGAGGAGGACUUUGGAUGGUGAUAACAUGCUCGAUUAAAAUGACAAUUAAAGAAGUGUACACAAGCACAUUUUUGUUCAUACAGAUACAGGAAAAAACAGAGUAAAAGAUUGGAAUGAUUUGCUGACUGAUGGGUGUGGUUUCCCUCUGUGUGUGUGUGAAUAUUUAAAGUGAAUGGUCACUUGCUGAUGAUCAUGUUUAGAGGGAAGUCCUAGUUAAAAAUUGGAAAAAUCCAGGAAGCUUUUCCUCCCUCUUUCUUUCUCUUCUUACAGGCCUGAGAACAGAAAGAAAGCUAAAAAAUCUAGUUUAACUAUCCUAGUUGCGUGAAAAUUUUAAAUGAUAUACCAUGAUAAGGGGAUUGGGGUAUAAUAAAUUUAGGUAGUCUUAUGGUAGAAGAAAUCUUUAAAUAGUGGUAGUAAACGUUUUAAAUUGUAUUGAAUGAAGUGAUUGUAAUGUACUAAACAUUUGAUUUGUCUUUCGUCCCUAACUCUGAUGCAUGAGAGGGGAGAGGAGAAUGAAAGGAGUCUGACGUUGGAGCUCCCAUGAGACAGAUAAGAAGAUAAUUGGCUGUGCUGCAAACAAGAGGGGGCUUGCGGAUGAGAGGCUCACCAGGUCCUGCUCCCAUUUGACAGGCCAGUACAGUUUUGUCUACAAACUCUUCUCCGAUGUGUCUGCUGCUACUUAGUUGUACAUACACACAUUAAUAGUGGGAACACAUUUAGUUGGGUGUAUAUAUUUGUUAGUGCUAGACAAUGAGAGCAGUAGUUUUGUUGGUAAAAAGAAAGGCUUGGCAAUAGAAAUAUUGCAUAACCAGAUUUAUUAACCCAGUCUGUUAAUGUUCACUUUUAAUUCAUAGAUGAUUGAACCAAAAAAAUAGUAAUUUACUUUUUUAUCUUUGGAUUUACUGAGAAAACUGUUCUGCUCACAGCUGUGGUCAAUUUACUCAUGUUGUAUUUUAUUUGUCAUUUCAUUUUAGAGAGGAGAUGAAACCAGACCAGAUGAUAGCAGACCAGACCAGAGAGGAGCUGAGGGGGCAGCCUGCAUCACAAACUAUCUUCAAAAGAAAGGUACGUUUUUUUUUUAAAUUCCACCUUAUUUACUGGUAACUGUUACAUUAUUUUACAAGUAUCUGAAAAUUUUAAUUAACCUUCCCUUUUUUUCUCUCCAAGUUAUUUGUCUGUUAUAGAAAUGAAACAAGCCUAGACCAAACUGGAGAAGACCAGAGUGGACCAGAUGAUAGCAGACCAGACCAGAGAGGAGCUGAGGGGACAGCCUGCAUCGCAAACUAUCUUAAAAAAAAGGUACAUAUAUUUUAUUCUAACUGCUCUUAUUGGUAACUGUUUCAUUAUUCUACAAGUGUCUGAAGUUCUUUAUUAAUUUUUUUGUCUCCAAAUUUAUUUGUCUUUUAUGGAAAGGAAACAAGCCCAGACCAGACUGGAGGAGACCAGACCAGACCAGAUGAUAGCAGACCAGACCAGAGAGGAGCUGAGGGGACAGCCUGCAUCGCAAACCAUCUUUAAAAAAAAGAUACAUUAACUUUAUUCUAAUAUAUUAUUCUAAUUCAUUUCCGGAUUUAUAUUUAAAUUUAGGAUUCAAAUGUUAGUAUUUAAGGUUAAGUAAUGCUUCUACUAUUACAAUUACUUAUACUUUUACUCUGGAAUUUAUUUGUGUGUCAUAUAGUGGAGAAGACAGAAGCCAGACUAGACCAGAGACCAAGACUGGAGAACAGAGUGGAGACCAGAUGAGUCCAGACCAGAGAAGAGCUGAGGGGGCAGCCGACAUCGCAAACUGACAAAAAAAAAAAAGAUAAAUAUAUUUUAUCCUUAAUUUCAUCCCCAAUUGUUUCACUGUAAAAUUGUUUCAGUCGGAGUCUUCAGUGGUGUUAUAACUUUUCUUUUUCCUCUUAUGUGAUUUGUCUUGUACAGAGAAGACAGAAAACCAGUCCAGACCAGAUACCAGCUGAGGGGGCAGCAUACCUUACAAGCCAUCUUUAAAAAAUAACGUAAGUUUUUCCCAUGCCAUAUUUUUUUUGUUGUUUUGAUCAAAAUUACUUCACUGUAAAUAUUAUUUUAAAAUUGUCUUCACUUGUUAACUUCUUUUGUCGCCCACAUUAUUUGUCCUUUACAGAAAGGAAACAAGUCUAGACCAGACUGGAGGUGUAUAGAUGAUGUCUGAAAUCAGCGUGUUCGUUUUUGUGGUCAGUUGGACUGGAACAUGAAGCUGUGGUGGCCUCACUGUGAAGCUCUCAUCGCCUACCUGAUGACCUACAGUCACACUAAGAGACCAGAGCUGCUGGAGAGAUUCUCUCAGGUGUAUGAGUACACCUUCAGUCACGUGAGUUAUUACUGAGGGAAACGUACCCGAGGAAAAAUCUCAUGCUACACCUCUGAAGUGUUAAAUGUCAACAAACGACCGUCAUGAUGACUUGUAACUUAUGAAGCCUCACUUAAGAAGCACUGAAAUAUUCCUUUAAUGUUCAUAUUGUAGAAACAUUGGGUAGAAUAGAAAAGAAAAGAAGUUGUAGAGAAGAAAAAAGAUGUUAAAAUAGACGAAAAAGAGAUGCCAAAAAUAGAAUAGCAGAGACUAGUAAUGGGAGUGUGCUACAUAACCGUGCAAGAUUAACGAAGACAGGGCCCAUAUCUUCUUAACGGUAAGACAAUGUGUAAAUUAGUGACUAAUGUGAACGUCUAGCUCAAAAAGGAUAGUCGAAUUCGGGGCGUGGAAAGAAAAAGUGAGGAGUAAAACCCGGAGCCCAGGGUAAUUGGCAAAUAAAUGAUGAAAAGAGAUAAAGAGUAAAAGAGACAAAGUGAAAAAGAGAAAAAGGCUGAGAUGGCCCAGGAAUAGAGAAGAAAAAGGCUGAGAUGGCCGAAAAAGAGAAAAAGUUAACUUAAUGUUAGGGACGACGCGAUUGGGCAUACAAACCGGUGAGGACAGUUUAAAGAAGGAAAAAAGGCCUAUAUACUAUAGUAAGGAAACACUGAGCUCAGUGAGAAGAGGUGUGCUGAAAUUUGAGUGCGUGAGAGAAGCUUCUGGUGUGUGUGUGUGCGUGCGUGCGUGCGUGCGUGCGUGCGUGCGUGCGUGCGUGCGUGCGUGCGUGCGUGCGUGCGUGCGUGCGCGCGCGUGUGUGUGUGUGUGUGUGUACACAAAGUUGGGGAAUGAUCUAGCAUAGGUUUAAGUGAUUAACUUAUGAUAAAGUGAUAAAUGAUGUCUUAUUAAAUAUAUAAUGAUAUGAUAUAAGAAAUUACCGUAUAAGGGAAGAGAUACUGUUGCCUUUGUAGUGCUAAAAAAAACAUAUGAGCCCUGGUUUCUUUGUACAGGGACGUUAAUAGAAUAGGUAACUGCUAUGAGCCUCUCAGGAUAAAGAGGACGUUUGUACACCUAAUAGUAAGAAAUGAGCCCCUUAUUAGAUGAGGAGGACUUUGGAUGGUGAUAACAUGCUCGAUUAAAAUGACAAUUAAAGAAGUGUACACAAGCACAUUUUUGUUCAUACAGAUACAGGAAAAAACAGAGUGAAAGAUUGGAAUGAUUUGCUGACUGAUGGGUGUGGUUUCCCUCUGUGUGUGUGUGAAUAUUUAAAGUGAAUGGUCACUUGCUGAUGAUCAUGUUUAGAGGGAAGUCCUAGUUAAAAAUUGGAAAAAUCCAGGAAGCUUUUCCUCCCUCUUUCUUUCUCUUCUUACAGGCCUGAGAACAGAAAGAAAGCUAAAAAAUCUAGUUUAACUAUCCUAGUUGCGUGAAAAUUUUAAAUGAUAUACCAUGAUAAGGGGAUUGGGGUAUAAUAAAUUUAGGUAGUCUUAUGGUAGAAGAAAUCUUUAAAUAGUGGUAGUAAACGUUUUAAAUUGUAUUGAAUGAAGUGAUUGUAAUGUACUAAACAUUUGAUUUGUCUUUUGUCCCUAACUCUGAUGCAUGAGCGGGGAGAGGAGAAUGAAAGGAGUCUGACGUUGGAGCUCCCAUGAGACAGAUAAGAAGAUAAAUGGCUGUGCUGCAAACAAGAGAGGGCUUGCGGAUGAGAGGCUCACCAGGUCCUGCUCCCAUUUGACAGGCCAGUACAGUUUUGUCUACAAACUCUUCUCCGAUGUGUCUGCUGCUACUUAGUUGUACAUACACACAUUAAUAGUGGGAACACAUUUAGUUGGGUGUUUAUAUUUGUUAGUGCUAGACAAUAAGAGCAGUAGUUUUGUUGGUAAAAAGAAAGGCUUGGCAAUAGAAAUAUUGCAUAACCAGAUUUAUUAACCCAGUCUGUUAAUGUUCACUUUUAAUUCAUAGAUGAUUGAACCAAAAAAAUAGUAAUUUACUUUUUUAUCUUUGGAUUUACUGAGAAAACUGUUCUGCUCACAGCUGUGGUCAAUUUACUCAUGUUGUAUUUUAUUUGUCAUUUCAUUUUAGAGAGGAGAUGAAACCAGACCAGAUGAUAGCAGACCAGACCAGAGAGGAGCUGAGGGGGCAGCCUGCAUCACAAACUAUCUUCAAAAGAAAGGUAAAUUUUUUUUUUUUAAAUUCCUCCUUAUUUACUGGUAACUGUUACAUUAUUUUACAAGUAUCUGAAAAUUUUAAUUAACCUUCCCUUUUUUUCUCUCCAAGUUAUUUGUCUGUUAUAGAAAUGAAACAAGCCUAGACCAAACUGGAGAAGACCAGAGUGGACCAGAUGAUAGCAGACCAGACCAGAGAGGAGCUGAGGGGACAGCCUGCAUCGCAAACCAUCUUUAAAAAAAAGAUACAUUAACUUUAUUCUAAUAUAUUAUUCUAAUUCAUUUCCGGAUGUAUUUUUAAAUUUAGGAUUCAAAUGUUAGUAUUUAAGGUUAAGUAAUGCUUCUACUAUUACAAUUACUUAUACUUUUACUCUGGAAUUUAUUUGUGUGUCAUAUAGUGGAGAAGACAGAAACCAGACUAGACCAGAGACCAAGACUGGAGAACAGAGUGGAGACCAGAUGAGUCCAGACCAGAGAAGAGCUGAGGGGGCAGCCGACAUCGCGAACUGACAAAAAAAAAAAAAGAUAAAUAUAUUUUAUCCUUAAUUUCAAUCACAAUUGUUUUACUGUACAAUUGUUUCAGUUGGAGUCUUCAGUGGUGUUAUAACUUUUCUUUUUCCUCUUAUGUGAUUUGUCUUGUACAGAGAAGACAGAAAACCAGUCCAGACCAGAUACCAGCUGAGGGGGCAGCAUACCUUACAAGCCAUCUUUAAAAAAUAACGUAAGUUUUUCCCAUGCCAUAUUUUUUUUUUGUUUUGAUCAAAAUUACUUCACUGUAAAUAUUAUUAUUUCAAAAUUGUCUUCACUUGUUAACUUCUUUUGUCUCCCACAUUAUUUGUCCUUUACAGAAAGGAAACAAGUCUAGACCAGACUGGAGGUGUAUAGAUAAUGUCUGAAACCAGCGUGUUCGUUUUUGUGGUCAGUUGGAGUGGAACAUGAAGCUGUGGUGGCCUCACUGUGAAGCUCUCAUCACCUACCUGAUGACCUACAGUCACACUAAGAGACCAGAGCUGCUGGAGAGAUUCUCUCAGGUGUAUGAGUACACCUUCAGUCACGUGAGUUAUUACUGAGGGAAACGUACCCGAGGAAAAAUCUCAUGCUACACCUCUGAAGUGUUAAAUGUCAACAAAUGACCGUCACGAUGACUUGUAACUUAUGAAGCCUCACUUAAGAAGCACUGAAAUAUUCCUUUAAUGUUCAUAUUGUAGAAACAUUGGGUAGAAUAGAAAAGAAAAGAAGUUGUAGAGAAGAAAAAAGAUGUUAAAAUAGACGAAAAAGAGAUGCCAAAAAUAGAAUAGCAGAGACUAGUAAUGGGAGUGUGCUAAAUAACCGUGCAAGAUUAACGAAGACAGGGCCCAUAUCUUCUUAACGGUAAGACAAUGUGUAAAUUAGUGACUACUGUGAACGUCUAGCUCAAAAAGGAUAGUCGAAUUCGGGGCGUGGAAAGAAAAAGUGAGGAGUAAAACCCGGAGCCCAAGAUAAUUGGCAAAUAAAUGAUGAAAAGAGAUAAAGAGUAAAAGAGACAAAGUGAAAAAGAGAAAAAGGCUGAGAUGGCCAAAAAAGAGAAAAAGUUAACUUAAUGUUAGGGACGACGCGAUUGGGCAUACAAACCGAUAAGGACAGUUUAAAGAAGAAAAAAAGGCCUAUAUACUAUAGUAAGGAAACAUUGAGCUCAGUGAGAAGAGGUGUGCUGAAAUUUGAGUGUGUGAGAGAAGCUUCUGGUGUGUGUGUGUGUGUGUGUGUGUGUGUGUGUGUGUGUGUGUGUGUGUGUGUGUGUGUGUGUGUGUGUGUGUGUGUGUGUGUGUGUGUGUGUGUGUGUGUGUGUGGGUGCUGAGCUGUGAGUGUGAGUGCAAAAGAGUCUGUGUGCAGUGAGUGGUGUGUACACAAAGUUGGGGAAUGAUCUAGCAUAGGUUUAAGUGAUUAACUUAUGAUAAAGUGAUAAAUGAUGUCUUAUUAAAUAUAUAAUGAUAUGAUAUAAGAAAUUAACAUAUAAGGGAAGAGAUACUGUUGCCUUUGUAGUGCUAAAAAAAACAUAUGAGCCCUGGUUUCUUUGUACAGGGACGUUAAUAGAAUAAGUAACUGCUAUGAGCCUCUCAGGAUAAAGAGGACGUUUGUACAGCUAAUAGUAAGAAAUUAGCCCCUUAUUAGAUGAGGAGGACUUUGGAUGGUGAUAACAUCCUUGACUCAUAUUGCAAUUAAAGAAGUGUACACAAGCACAUUUGUGUUCAUACAGAUACAGGAAAAAAACAGAGUAAAAGAUUGGAAUGAUUGCUGACUGAUGGGUGUGGUUUUCCUCUGUGUGUGUGUGUGUGAAUGUUUAAAGUGAAUGGUCACUUGCUGAUGCUCAUGUUUAGAGGGAAGUCCUAGUUAAAAAUUGGAAAACUCCAGGGAGCUUUCUCUCCCUCUUUCUUUCUCUUCUUACAGGCCUGAGAACAGAAAGAAAGCUAAAAAAUCUAGUUUAACUAUCCUAGUUGCGUGAAAAUUUUAAAUGAUAUACCAUGAUCAGGGGAUUGGGGUAUAAUAAAUUUAGGUAGUCUUAUGGUAGAAGAAAUCUUUAAAUAGUGGUAGUAAACGUUUUAAAUUGUAUUGAAUGAAGUGAUUGUAAUGUACUAAACAUUUGAUUUGUUCUUUGUCCCUAACUCUGAUGCAUGAGAGGGGAGAGGAGAAUGAAAGGAGUCUGACGUUGGAGCGCCCAUGAGACAGAUAAGAAGAUAAAUGGCUGUGCUGCAAACAAGAGAGGGCUUGCGGAUGAGAGGCUCACCAGGUCCUGCUCCCAUUUGACAGGCCAGUACAGUUUUGUCUACAAACU
This 8732-nucleotide long non-coding RNA is filed under the name Xyrichtys novacula (pearly razorfish). Lineage: Eukaryota; Metazoa; Chordata; Actinopteri; Labriformes; Labridae. The record is from RNAcentral.